RNAcentral lists this unclassified non-coding RNA (203 nucleotides) under soil metagenome. RNAcentral's name for it is "partial contains 5.8S ribosomal RNA, internal transcribed spacer 2, and large subunit ribosomal RNA". The record is from RNAcentral.
AACCUAGCACACCUGCGGUGUGUACCUGCGGAAGGAUCAUUACCUAGAGUUGUAGGCUUUGCCUGCUAUCUCUUACCCAUGUCUUUUGAGUACCUUACGUUUCCUCGGUGGGUUCGCCCGCCGGUUGGACAAAACUUAAACCCUUUGUAGUUGCAAUCAGCGUCUGAAAAAACUUAACAGUUACAACUUUUAACAAUGGAUCU